GAGGGUGCCGUGGGUUGUCCUUGUUAGAACUGCUUGAUGAUCCGCUGUUCGGCAUUGCAGACUGGUUAUACUAGCCCAUCUUGUGCUGGAGGCCAACGAGAUUGAUAAAUUGGAAUUAUCGGCUGAGGACUUGACCUGGUUUUACAAUCAACAGUCAAUUGAAGUCCUCUUUGUUAGGACAUCGCCCCAAAUGCUCAUAGUUGUCAUGAAGACGAUAGGUUACAUUUCUUGAAUAAUGUAAACCAGGAAAUCUCAUGCUGUGUUUCCAGAAAUACAUCCAGCCAUUACAAUCAGUUCGGAGCUUCUAAUGUCCAGAAACAGUCAGAAUCUUGGGUGGCUUCGUUACACACUAUCAUCAGUUGUUGCUACUAGUCACACAAUGUUUGAUAAUAGUUCACGAAAAGAGCUGUCAAGCCAGAUAAUCUUACAGCUAGGCAAACAAUUCAAACAACCUUAAUGUACCAUUCUAAAACUACCUUUCCUCCC
RNAcentral lists this long non-coding RNA (486 nucleotides) under Physcomitrium patens. Its description in RNAcentral is "long non-coding RNA (PPAT_LNC001349)". Lineage: Eukaryota; Viridiplantae; Streptophyta; Bryopsida; Funariales; Funariaceae. The record is from RNAcentral.